UAUCAUGCUAUGAUUGAUUUUUUUAACGUAAAAUAUUAGAAUUUUAACUCCCCGAUUUCGCUAUGAGCAUUAUAUGAAUUUAAUUUGAUUGUACUUAGAAGAAAGGUUUUCCUCUCUAUUAAUUAGUGAUCAUGCUCUUUUCAUGAAGUUUGCCGUUUUUCCUUUUAGAUUGGUAAAACAAGCAUGAGCGUCUUGGUCUCCCAAAGUUUUACUGCGACAGGAAAGUCAAUUUGGGUAGUUUAUGAAUCUUGAUGAUCUUGAGCUGGAGAGUACAGGAAAUUGCCAUGAUCGUUUUCCCCCUAAUAUGCGCUGGUGUGUGCUAGGCCCUGUAAAAUCCGAAUAAUGACUGCAUGAAAAUGGGUUGGUGUAACGUUCUUGAUAAUCAAGAACUGCUGAUUACCACCCAGACUUCAGAUUCCUCUCGAUGAUUAACUACUCACAACACACAAGACUAGAAGUAGUCGAGAAAAGCGCAACACACAAUGAUUUAACUCCAGAUUCCAUGAUGAAUCUGAACUGGGAAUUUUCGAGGAACUCCCAACCUCCAAGACUCAAGAUUCUUAUUCAACCGAUAUGCUUACAUGCAAGAACUCUGCUAUUCUUAUACUCGCAGAGUGAAUCCAGAAAUUCAAAACGCAACUAAUACAACAUAAAAUGCACCCAAACUUCUAACUAUCAAAACUCACCGUAUUACUUAAACCAACACACCGUUUGUAACAUACGAACCUAGAAUUUAGGUUAAUUCAGUUAGAAUUAUUUAGUUAUGUUCUGAUUAUAUUUAUUCUUUUUAUUAAUUACUUAUUUAUUUAUUUUCAGAUACGUAUAAUUAUCUUUUUGUUAAAUCAGAUAAUGAACCAGAUUAAUUAGUUUUUAGGUGGUUUCCUUUUAUCUUGUAAUCUUUGUUAUUAUCGGAUAGGUUUAAAAGUUUUUGAAAAGAUUCUAAGAUCAAAACCAAAUCAGAUCUAGCUAAUCCCCUGAAAACUCUAGCUAAUCUCCUGAAAACUCUAGCUAAUCUCCUGAAAACCCACGUAAAACCCUUUCCCUCACCUUUAUAAAAUCUUACCAGACCCUCAGAAUAAUGUUUCAGAAAUUUUAGUUGACAAAGAGGGAAAAGAAAAGGAUAGCACUCGUGCAGCCCCUUCUUUUCUGUUACCCAGCCACCUCAUCAGAGCACCUUCAGAUCUACACAGACACUGCCAGUCAACCACUUCGUUGAACACCCCACUAUCUGGUCACGAGCUACGACGUGAGUAUUCGGAAGCAGCGCUAAGAGAUGGUGAUUAUGAUGAUGCAGAGCUGGAUGGCCAGGAGUAGAUUUAGUAUAUGGACUUAGAGAUGAAUAAGUGUCUUUUACACAAGGAUUAAGUUUCCUUUAUGUCUUUUCAAUAACUAGUUUUGUUUAAGACUAGCUCACUUUUGCUUUAUUCAGUUUCAGUUUUCAAGACUAUUUAUUUCCUUUCUUUUAAGUCUAUUCCAAUAAAUGAGGUAUUUCAGAGUAA
Carya illinoinensis is the source of this 1499-nucleotide long non-coding RNA. RefSeq lists it as uncharacterized. The record is from RefSeq and is a predicted model, not a curated record. NCBI's taxonomy places the organism in Eukaryota, Viridiplantae, Streptophyta, Magnoliopsida, Fagales, Juglandaceae. The transcript has 3 exons.